CGGGCCGGACAGCCGCGCGACCAGUACCGAAAGGUCGGCCGUGAGGAAAGUCCGGGCUCCACAGGGCAAGGAUAACGGGUAACGCCCGCCGAAGGCGACUUCAGGAAAAGUGCAACAGAGAUAUACCGCCCCGCCGGUACUUGUAUCGACGAGGUAAGGGUGGAAAGGCGAGGUAAGAGCUCACCCAUCAACGGGGAACCGCUUGAUGCUGUAAACUCUAUCCGGAGCAACACCGCAGAGGGGACUCAGGCUUGCCCGGCCGUCCCCGAGAAGGUGGCUGGAGCGUACCGGCAACGGUGCGCCUAGAUAGAUGGCUGUCGAUUACAGAACCCGGCUUAUAGGCCCGAUCG
Molecule: RNase P RNA, 350 nt
Filed under: chicken gut metagenome
Description: Bacterial RNase P class A
Rfam family: Bacterial RNase P class A
About the family: Ribonuclease P (RNase P) is a ubiquitous endoribonuclease, found in archaea, bacteria and eukarya as well as chloroplasts and mitochondria. Its best characterised activity is the generation of mature 5'-ends of tRNAs by cleaving the 5'-leader elements of precursor-tRNAs. Cellular RNase Ps are ribonucleoproteins.
Source: RNAcentral